RNAcentral lists this ribosomal RNA (328 nucleotides) under uncultured eukaryote. RNAcentral describes it as "partial 18S ribosomal RNA". It matches the Rfam family "Eukaryotic small subunit ribosomal RNA", at positions 1470 to 1796 of the family's 1831-position model. The record is from RNAcentral.
CCCUUAGAUGUUCUGGGCCGCACGCGCGCUACACUGACUACUUCAACGAGUUGUUUCCUUGAUCGAAAGGUCUGGGUAAUCUUUGAAAGGUAGUCGUGAUGGGGAUAGAUCUUUGCAAUUUUUGAUCUUCAACGAGGAAUUCCUAGUAAACGCAAGUCAUCAGCUUGCAUUGAUUACGUCCCUGCCCUUUGUACACACCGCCCGUCGCACCUACCGAUUGAAUGGUCCGGUGAAUCUUUAGGACUGUGGCUGAGGCCUUGCCUUGUGCGGGUCUGGCCGUGGGAAUUUAGUUAAACCUUACCAUUUAGAGGAAGGUGAAGUCGUAACA